GUUUGAUCCUGGCUCAGAUUGAACGCUGGCGGCAUGCUUUACACAUGCAAGUCGAACGGCAGCGCGGGGCAACCUGGCGGCGAGUGGCGAACGGGUGAGUAAUAUAUCGGAACGUACCCAAGAGUGGGGGAUAACGUAGCGAAAGUUACGCUAAUACCGCAUACGAUCUAAGGAUGAAAGUGGGGGAUCGCAAGACCUCAUGCUCCUGGAGCGGCCGAUAUCUGAUUAGCUAGUUGGUGAGGUAAAGGCUCACCAAGGCGACGAUCAGUAGCUGGUCUGAGAGGACGACCAGCCACACUGGAACUGAGACACGGUCCAGACUCCUACGGGAGGCAGCAGUGGGGAAUUUUGGACAAUGGGCGCAAGCCUGAUCCAGCAAUGCCGCGUGAGUGAAGAAGGCCUUCGGGUUGUAAAGCUCUUUUGUCAGGGAAGAAACGGUAGAGGCUAAUAUCCUUUGCUAAUGACGGUACCUGAAGAAUAAGCACCGGCUAACUACGUGCCAGCAGCCGCGGUAAUACGUAGGGUGCAAGCGUUAAUCGGAAUUACUGGGCGUAAAGCGUGCGCAGGCGGUUUUGUAAGUCUGUCGUGAAAGCCCCGGGCUCAACCUGGGAAUUGCGAUGGAGACUGCAAGGCUUGAAUCUGGCAGAGGGGGGUAGAAUUCCACGUGUAGCAGUGAAAUGCGUAGAGAUGUGGAGGAACACCGAUGGCGAAGGCAGCCCCCUGGGUCAAGAUUGACGCUCAUGCACGAAAGCGUGGGGAGCAAACAGGAUUAGAUACCCUGGUAGUCCACGCCCUAAACGAUG
Molecule: ribosomal RNA, 803 nt
Filed under: uncultured bacterium
Lineage: Bacteria
Description: bacterial SSU rRNA
Rfam family: Bacterial small subunit ribosomal RNA
Source: RNAcentral